Molecule: ribosomal RNA, 325 nt
Filed under: uncultured eukaryote
Lineage: Eukaryota
Description: partial 18S ribosomal RNA
Rfam family: Eukaryotic small subunit ribosomal RNA
Source: RNAcentral
CCCUUAGAUGUCCUGGGCCGCACGCGCGCUACACUGAUGCAUCCAACGAGUUUUACCUUGGCCGAGAGGCCUGGGCAAUCUUUUAAACCUGCAUCGUGAUAGGGAUAGAUUAUUGCAAUUAUUAAUCUUGAACGAGGAAUUCCUAGUAAACGCAAAUCAUCAAUUUGCAUUGAUUACGUCCCUGCCCUUUGUACACACCGCCCGUCGCACCUACCGAUUGAAUGGUCCGGUGAAGCCUCGGGAUUGUGGCCAGUUCACUUUAUUGGGAGUUGGCUGUGAGAACUUGUCUAAACCUUAUCAUUUAGAGGAAGGUGAAGUCGUAACA